AGAGUUUGAUAGAGGAAAGCAGAAUUUCUAGUGUAGAGGUGAAAUUCGUAGAUAUUAGAAAGAAUACCAAUUGCGAAGGCAGCUUUCUGGAUCAUUACUGACACUGAGGAACGAAAGCAUGGGUAGCGAAGAGGAUUAGAUACCCUCGUAGUCCAUGCCGUAAACGAUGUGUGUUAGACGUUGGAAAUUUAUUUUCAGUGUCGCAGCGAAAGCGAUAAACACACCGCCUGGGGAGUACGACCGCAAGGUUAAAACUCAAAUGAAUUGACGGGGACCCGCACAAGUAGUGGAGCAUGUGGUUUAAUUCGAAGAUACGCGCAGAACCUUACCAACACUUGACAUGUUCGUCGCGACUCUAAGAGAUUAGAGUUUUCGGUUCGGCCGGACGAAACACAGGUGCUGCAUGGCUGUCGUCAGCUCGUGUCGUGAGAUGUUGGGUUAAGUCCCGCAACGAGCGCAACCCUCACUUUUAGUUGCCAUCAUUAAGUUGGGCACUCUGAAAGAACUGCCAGUGAUAAGCUGGAGGAAGGUGGGGAUGACGUCAAGUCCUCAUGGCCCUUACGUGUUGGGCUACACACGUGCUACAAUGGUAUCUACAACAGGAAGCAAGACUGCGAAGUUAAGCAAAUCCCUAAAAGAUACCUCAGUUCGGAUUGCACUCUGCAACUCGAGUGCAUGAAGCUGGAAUUACUAGUAAUCGUGGAUCAGCGUGCCACGGUGAAUGCGUUCCCGGGUCUUGUACACACCGCCCGUCACACCAUGGGAGUUGGUUCUACCUUAAGGCAAGGUUUUAAACCCUUGACCACGGUAUAGUCAGCGACUGGGGUGAAGUCGUAACAAGGUAGCCGUAGGGGAACCUGC
Molecule: ribosomal RNA, 861 nt
Filed under: marine metagenome
Description: bacterial SSU rRNA
Rfam family: Bacterial small subunit ribosomal RNA
Source: RNAcentral